CCUACGGGUGGCAGCAGUGGGGAAUAUUGGACAAUGGGCGAAAGCCUGAUCCAGCCAUGCCGCGUGUGUGAAGAAGGCCUUCGGGUUGUAAAGCACUUUCAGUGGGGAAGAAAGCCUUGGGGCUAAUACCCUCGAGGAAGGACAUCACCCACAGAAGAAGCACCGGCUAACUCCGUGCCAGCAGCCGCGGUAAUACGGAGGGUGCGAGCGUUAAUCGGAAUUACUGGGCGUAAAGCGCGCGUAGGCGGUCUGAUAAGCCGGUUGUGAAAGCCCCGGGCUCAACCUGGGAACGGCAUCCGGAACUGUCAGGCUAGAGUGCAGGAGAGGAAGGUAGAAUUCCCGGUGUAGCGGUGAAAUGCGUAGAGAUCGGGAGGAAUACCAGUGGCGAAGGCGGCCUUCUGGACUGACACUGACGCUGAGGUGCGAAAGCGUGGGGAGCAAACAGGAUUAGAUACCCCAGUAGUC
This 465-nucleotide ribosomal RNA is filed under the name Vreelandella stevensii. RNAcentral's name for it is "partial 16S ribosomal RNA". It matches the Rfam family "Bacterial small subunit ribosomal RNA", at positions 338 to 795 of the family's 1533-position model. Lineage: Bacteria; Pseudomonadati; Pseudomonadota; Gammaproteobacteria; Oceanospirillales; Halomonadaceae. The record is from RNAcentral.